This 77-nucleotide transfer RNA is filed under the name Thiohalospira halophila DSM 15071. RNAcentral's name for it is "tRNA_Pro_GGG". It matches the Rfam family "tRNA". Rfam says of the family: Transfer RNA (tRNA) molecules are approximately 80 nucleotides in length. Their secondary structure includes four short double-helical elements and three loops (D, anti-codon, and T loops). The record is from RNAcentral. Lineage: Bacteria; Pseudomonadati; Pseudomonadota; Gammaproteobacteria; Thiohalospirales; Thiohalospiraceae. RNAcentral also lists the same sequence under 2 other names.
CGGGGCGUGGCGCAGUCUGGUAGCGCACCACACUGGGGGUGUGGGGGUCGUAGGUUCAAAUCCUGCCGUCCCGACCA